GGCUUAGAUCAGAAAUGAUCAGCC
RNAcentral lists this unclassified non-coding RNA (24 nucleotides) under Saccharomyces cerevisiae (brewer's yeast). RNAcentral describes it as "RNA (5'-R(*GP*GP*CP*UP*UP*AP*GP*AP*UP*CP*AP*GP*AP*AP*AP*UP*GP*AP*UP*CP*AP*GP*CP*... from Saccharomyces cerevisiae (PDB 2LK3, chain A)". Lineage: Eukaryota; Fungi; Ascomycota; Saccharomycetes; Saccharomycetales; Saccharomycetaceae. The record is from RNAcentral.